UACAGAGGGGGCAAGCGUUAUUCGGAAUUAUUGGGCGUAAAGAGCUCGUAGGCGGUUCGUCGCGUCGGCUGUGAAAUCCCGAGGCUCAACCUCGGGUCUGCAGUCGAUACGGGCGGACUGGAGUUCGGCAGGGGAGACUGGAAUUCCUGGUGUAGCGGUGAAAUGCGCAGAUAUCUGGAGGAACACCGGUGGCGAAGGCGGCAUCCUGGACCAACACUGACGCUGAGGAGCGAAAGCCAGGGGAGCAAACGGG
RNAcentral lists this ribosomal RNA (253 nucleotides) under uncultured bacterium. RNAcentral's name for it is "partial 16S ribosomal RNA". It matches the Rfam family "Bacterial small subunit ribosomal RNA", at positions 524 to 776 of the family's 1533-position model. The record is from RNAcentral.